This 253-nucleotide ribosomal RNA is filed under the name uncultured bacterium. RNAcentral's name for it is "partial 16S ribosomal RNA". It matches the Rfam family "Bacterial small subunit ribosomal RNA", at positions 524 to 776 of the family's 1533-position model. The record is from RNAcentral.
UACGGAGGGUGCGAGCGUUAUUCGGAAUUACUGGGCGUAAAGCGCGUGUAGGCGGGGAAGCAAGUCUGAUGUGAAAGCCCCGGGCUUAACCUGGGAAGUGCAUUGGAAACUGUUUUUCUUGAGUACUGGAGAGGAAGGGAGAAUUCCCGGUGUAGAGGUGAAAUUCGUAGAGAUCGGGAGGAACACCAGUGGCGAAGGAGCCCUUCGGGACGGUUACUGACGAUGAGACGCGAGAGCGUGGGGAGCAAACAGG